AAAGGAUGAAUACUUGAUCAACAGCCAAACCAUUGAGCAUAUUGUUAAACUAGUGGAACAACACGGCAGUGAUAUCUGGUGGACUCUUCCCCCUGAGCAACUUCUACCAAAAGAAGUCUUAUCUGAGGUUGGUGGCCCUGAUGCCUUGGAAUAUGUGCCAGGUCAGGAUAUUUUGGACAUCUGGUUUGAUAGCGGAACUUCAUGGUCUUAUGUUCUUCCAGGUCCUGACCAAAAAGCAGAUUUGUACUUGGAAGGAAAAGACCAGCUCGGGGGUUGGUUUCAGUCAUCCUUAUUAACAAGUGUGGCAACAAGGAAGAGAGCACCUUAUAAUGUUCUGUAAGAAUUUGAAGUAAAAAAAAGAGAAAGGAAAAAGGAGACACCAAGGUGUCUUGAUCUCAUUCAGUCACCCAGGCUAGAGUGCAAUGGUGUGGUCAGAGCUCGCUGC
Molecule: small RNA, 445 nt
Filed under: Pongo abelii (Sumatran orangutan)
Lineage: Eukaryota; Metazoa; Chordata; Mammalia; Primates; Hominidae
Description: processed transcript
Source: RNAcentral